Molecule: ribosomal RNA, 464 nt
Filed under: Vreelandella stevensii
Lineage: Bacteria; Pseudomonadati; Pseudomonadota; Gammaproteobacteria; Oceanospirillales; Halomonadaceae
Description: partial 16S ribosomal RNA
Rfam family: Bacterial small subunit ribosomal RNA
Source: RNAcentral
CCUACGGGAGGCUGCAGUGGGGAAUAUUGGACAAUGGGCGAAAGCCUGAUCCAGCCAUGCCGCGUGUGUGAAGAAGGCCUUCGGGUUGUAAAGCACUUUCAGUGGGGAAGAAAGCCUUGGGGCUAAUACCCUCGAGGAAGGACAUCACCCACAGAAGAAGCACCGGCUAACUCCGUGCCAGCAGCCGCGGUAAUACGGAGGGUGCGAGCGUUAAUCGGAAUUACUGGGCGUAAAGCGCGCGUAGGCGGUCUGAUAAGCCGGUUGUGAAAGCCCCGGGCUCAACCUGGGAACGGCAUCCGGAACUGUCAGGCUAGAGUGCAGGAGAGGAAGGUAGAAUUCCCGGUGUAGCGGUGAAAUGCGUAGAGAUCGGGAGGAAUACCAGUGGCGAAGGCGGCCUUCUGGACUGACACUGACGCUGAGGUGCGAAAGCGUGGGUAGCAAACAGGAUUAGAUCCCUUGUAGUC